Molecule: ribosomal RNA, 517 nt
Filed under: uncultured bacterium
Lineage: Bacteria
Description: partial 16S ribosomal RNA
Rfam family: Bacterial small subunit ribosomal RNA
Source: RNAcentral
UGGGAAUAUUGGACAAUGGGGGCAACCCUGAUCCAGCCAUGCCGCGUGAGUGAUGAAAGCCUUAGGGUUGUAAAGCUCUUUCACCCGGGACGAUAAUGACGGUACCGGGAGAAGAAGCCCCGGCUAACUUCGUACCAGCAGCCGCGGUAAUACGAAGGGGGCUAGCGUUGUUCGGAAUCACUGGGCGUAAAGCGCACGUAGGCGGACCGUUAAGUCGGAGGUGAAAUCCUGGGGCUCAACCCCAGAACUGCCUUCGAUACUGGCGGUCUCGAGUCCGGAAGAGGUGAGUGGAACUGCCAGUGUAGAGGUGAAAUUCGUAGAUAUUGGCAAGAACACCAGUGGCGAAGGCGGCUCACUGGUCCGGUACUGACGCUGAGGUGCGAAAAGCGUGUGGAGCAAACAGGAUUAGAUACCCUGGUAGUCCACGCCGUAAACGAUGAAUGCCAGCCGUCGGGCAGCAUGCUGUUCGGUGGCGCAGCUAAUGCUUUAAGCAUUCCGCCUGGGGGAGUACGGUCGC